Cavia porcellus (domestic guinea pig) is the source of this 12875-nucleotide long non-coding RNA. RefSeq lists it as uncharacterized. The record is from RefSeq and is a predicted model, not a curated record. The transcript is spliced from 4 exons. NCBI's taxonomy places the organism in Eukaryota, Metazoa, Chordata, Mammalia, Rodentia, Caviidae.
CACAGAUGUGUUUCAGUUUUGCUGUUAAAACAGUGUGGAUGUAAAGAUGUUUGUUAAUGCAGGAAGAGGAGCCACAAUUGUCUUUGCAGGCUCAGAGGAAUACAGGAACACAAACUAUGUUCAGAACUAUUGCUCUGGAAGAACCUCAACAAACAUACCAGAUAAAGCCCUGGUCUGAAUUCUUCAAGCCCAUUUCUUUCCCCUUCCCAUCAGUCCAGUGUAGCAAGAAAGGGACUACCAUAUGUCAGAGAUGAAAGGCAAAAGAUGGCUAGUAGAUGUGAAGUUUCCACAGAGUUGUCCUAAGAAAUCAACCUGGCUCAUUCAAUGGGGUUGCCACACUUAGCCAAGAUAGCAGAGAACCUUUAAGCCGAGAUGAUACAUUUAUCAGGGCCUUUGUUUAUGGUAGGGCCUAUGUGUGAUCAUAAAUGGCUACGUGCCUGUUUAUAUUUACAUGCCAGUGUGUUCACAAAGUGUCUUAGUCUGUUUCAUGAUACUAUAUCAGAAUACCAGAGGCUAGUGAUUUAUAAAGGGAAGAAAUUUAUUUGUUCAGAGUUCCAUGGGCAAAAAGUCCAAGACUGAAAGGCUAUAUCUAGUGAGGACCUUCUUGUUGCACCAUAGCAUCAAGACAGCAAGAGGGGCCAAACCUUACAAAUAGGGAGAUAACUAACCCAUUCCUGAGUAAUCAUAUUAAUCUAUUCAUGAGUCUAGAGCCCUCUUGACCUAAUCAUUUCUUAUUAGGUAUCUAUUCUCAACACUUUUGCAUUAGUAAUAAAGCUUCCAGUACAUGAACUUUGGGGGACACAUUCAAGCUAUAGCACAAGUGUAGGUAUAUCUGUGAGCUGUGUAGGUAUGUGCAUGAAUAGCCACACCUGAAUGGCCUAUGACUGGAUUUGCACGUGUGCUCAUCCAUAUGGAAUUGAGAUGAUUAUAAGUAAGAAUGUCACUAGGUAAGAAUAUUUGCAGGCCUUCUACUGUGCACACCAAAAAUCUGAGAAUUCUAAAUUUCUUCCUCUUCCUAAUCCAUGAUCCACUCAGUUCACGGUGCUAAUAUCCAUGUGGGCUCUCAUCACUUCUCCCCAGACUAGUGUACUUGCUGGGUCCUCAGUGUCACCACCCUGCAGCCCCUCUGAGCAGCAGCCGCAGUGGUGGCGGCAAAAUGAAACUGGGGUUACAGAGAACCUCUCCUGCAAUGAACCGCGCGGCUUUCCACUGUCUGGGGUACCACCCAUCUCAGUGUUACUCUUUGGGAGCUCUUUCAAGGUUGUGGUUUUGCUUAUUGAGAUCUGAGCCCUGCUCAUGUGGGUCUUUGGGUCGUGGACGCGGCACCCUUCAGUCUGGCCUAUUCUACACCCCAAGGAUUUGACUCCAAGGCCAAGUCCUCUGGGAUUUAUGAACUAUCCCCACGUCCCUGCCGCGGAGAUUAUCUCUUGCUUCCGCGGAGAUUAUCUGUUGCUUCCGUAAUAGUCAGGCUGCAAACGGACAAAAGCCUGUCACGUCCCACUCCGUUGUAAGAUGAAGCAAGCCAGGUACAAUGGCUCACGCUUUAGUGCCAAACCGCAGAGCCUUAGCAGACACAUACAUCGAAAUGCGCGUGCGCACAGGAAACAGUUGGAACUACAACUCCCAGAAUACUCUAGAAAAGGACUCCAUUUCCCAGAAAGCUUCGCGAAAACUCCGACCCGGAACUGCGGUGUUUUGGAAAGCGAGAGGUGGAGCGUAUCUGGUGGCGUGGAGCGUUUCUGGCGGUGAGGAACGACCUCCAGGGGUCGUUAGUGAGUUAGAGAAAUGGAGUGUCUGCAAGGUGUCUGAUGCAACCCUUCAGGAUCUUCGCUGUCCUGAGUCGCGGUUCUCUGCCGCGUGGGCGUCGAGGCCUGUCUCAGCCUAGCGUUUCUUCCCGCUGCGGCGUUGUUGGUGUUGGGUGUAUUCGCCCCACUCACCCUCGGGCAUCUUUAUGCGGUAAAGGCCAGUAGCUGCCUUUUUUCCAGCCUUGCUCUGGCUGUUUUCUUGAAAAAGAGACGACCUUGUCCCCACAGUGUAAGCCACUGGAUCCCACCCGUGGAUCCCACAGCUCUUUUGCUACUUCUGGCGCUGACCGCAGCAGACGAGAAUGCAGGUAUUGGAGGACAGGUGUGAACAGUGGCUGGGAGGGUGAACAUCUGUAGAUCUUGGCCUGCUGCCUUUAUUCCCAAGAAGAUAACUUCCUCGUGGUCCCUGCUGAUCCAGUUCAUAUCGUGGAAUUUGGGAGGGCCGAAGACUCCUUCCUCAGACCUACUCCCAGUCACAUCCCUUAGACUCCAGCCUAUCUAAGCCUCAGGAUCUAUUGCCAGCUUUCCCCAAAGGCACCCAGAGAACCUGGCCAAAAUAAAAAUAAAAACAGUUGGUGGCAGCGUGAAGCUUUUGGAGAAAAAGAAAAGUGGAAAGUACAAAGGAGAAGCUUCAGGACACGUGAGGGCCUGAAAGUUACUGGGCCCAAAGGAAGAGUUGAGGUACAGGGGUAAGGAGUGAGAGGGAAAGAGACCUGUUUUCACUCACUAUCUGCAAAGGAAGGGCUGUGUAUGUGUCACAAAGCAAGAAGAUAAAGAUCACAUUUUUCAGAACUGUAUUUGUUUAUGCAAUCCAUAGCAAUUUAGUUUCGUUGUAAACAUUUUAAAUAAAUUGCACACUCCCCUAACAUUCCGUAGGGUGUUAAAACCACUGGUAAUGUAUUCUUUGAGAUUUCACAAAGGUACCUGGCACUUUCCCUGUGUUGCUCUAUUCCUGGGUCCCUAGGUGGACUUCUGCAGUGCCUGAGACCCUCUUUGUGUAUCUACAAGGUCAAAACUAUUUUCACUAUAAUACUAAUUUUUUUUUUUUUUUGCAUUUUAUACUAUAUUGACGUUUGCAUUUAAAAUUGUAGGCAUAACUGAAACUGUUGGUACAAAUGAAUCUGGGCAGUGGCAGUAAACUAUGCUUGCAGUUACUGUAUUUUUUCACUGGUGUAUGGCAGUAGAGAAGGGGUAGAGUAGGGGUAGAGAAGCCAAUUUCACUUAAUAUUCUUAAUGAAGCUCUAAGGAGUAUUCAUUUUUCUGUAUUUUUGAGCCUUGAGUACAUGGUGUUUUUUGUUUGUUUGUUUGUUUUUUGUCUUUUUCCUUUUUAUCGGUACCGGGGAUCGAACUCACGACUCCCUGCUUGCAAGGCAGGAGCAUAUGCCGCUGAGCUAAAUCCCCAGCCCCAGAGUACACGGUGUUUAAUAUUGUGUGUGACAAAAUGGGAAGUAUUCCCAAAGCAAAUGCUCCACAUAGCAUUCUGUGUCUUGAGGAAAAGCAAUUACGUGGUUGUUCAGAGUGGCUAGCUGAACUAGACGGUUUUCUAGAAAACACUUCUUUUGCUUGAACAGCAAACAGUGUAUUUCCUUGGAUGCGGGUAUUGGUGGAAAAUAAAAUAAGUUCAUCACUUAAAGGGAAACAACUGAACGUCUUUAAUGCCAAUAAGAACAUUUGUGUUUUUGAGAAAAAGCUAAAAUUUAAAAAGAUGUAUCUUCCACCCUGUGCUCGGCAGAUUUCCAAUACUUAAACUUUUUUCUAAUGAGUUUUGUAGGCUGUGAUUUUUAAAAUAUUAAUAAUAAAAUGUGCCAAGAUUUAGAAGAUCUGCAUAGUUCAGUAUAUUAAAUAUCCUUUGUUGCAUAAGAAAUUAGCCCCAGACAUAGUGAUUUAAAACAACAAACAUUUAUGAUCUGACAGUGUCUGUGCUUCAAGAAUUUGAGAGUAUUUAUGUAAGUGGUGCUGAGUAAGUUUCUCAGGCAGAUACAGUCAAGAUGUUUACUAGAUUGCGGUUCUGUGACAGCUUCACCGGCACUAGAAAAUCUGCCCCCAAGAUGGCUGACUUACAGGGCUGUUGGCAGGAGGCCUCUGUUAUGGUUUGUGCCCAGAUGUCCCUCCAAAGCCUCAUACACUUUUUAGAUGGAGUUUUUUUGGAGCCAACUGAACCUAGUUUGUGACUGAUUUGUGGUGCAAUGCCAGGAUUAAGGGUGAGUGAUUUUGGAUCAGUCCACUGAUUGGAUUGGCACCACUCUAAUCUGAGUAGACUGGAUAAGAUAAAAGGAGCAAAAAGAAACUUGUUUCCUCCUUCGUGCUCUCACUUGGUUUUUGUUGUCUUCCACUGCCAUGAACUGAGGCCCUUCUGCCUUGGACCCAGGUGAUUAUUUACUGAAACCUCUACAAAUUGAAGGUAAAUAAACCUUUCCCCUUUUAACUUUGGAUGUUGGAUAUUUUGGGUGUUAGAUAUUUCAUCUCCACAAUGAGAGAAUAGUAACUAAGACAGCCUCCUUUGCUUGUUGCCUUUUAACAGAAGGCUUCCAUUUCUUGCCAUAUGGACCUUUCUACAGGGCUUUAAGUGUCUUCAUAGUAUGAAGGCUAGUUUCCUUCAAAGUAUGUGAUCUAAGAAAGGAGCAAGAUAGACUCCUCAGUGUCUGUUAUGAUCAACCCCCAGGUGUCUGUCAUUCCUCACAUUUCUGUUUUUUAGAAACAAGUUACUCUGUACAGCCCACAGUCAAGGAGAGGGGAAUUAGGCGAAGCAGGCAGUUAUGCUGCUAAACUUAAUCUCCAGCCCUAAACUCUACUUCUUCUUUUUUUUUUUUUUUUUUUUUUUUUUGUCUUUUUUUCUUUUUUAUCGGUACCAGGGAUCGAACUCACGACCGCACACUUGCAAGGCAGGUGCUUAUGCCUCUGAGCUAAAUCUCCAGCCCCUAAGCUCCACUUCCUAAAGGAAGAAAUAUCAAAGACUAUCUGGACAUCUUUUAAAAACAUGACACUUACCCAUUCAUUUGCAAAUUUAAAAAAAGAUACAUACAUAAAAACUAUUUCAAUUGCAAGAUAGUUCAGUAGAUUUCUUAAUGUAGUAGAAUACAAAAAUGUCACUGGUGUAGUUCUUGAUUCUACAUUGCUACUGAUCUUUAAGAAGCAACCAUUUGUUGAAUUUCAAUGUAAUAUCAAAGAAAAAUACCCACAAUUACAUGAAAAGUUUGUUAAAAUACUGCUGUUGAAAACAAUACGUUUGUGAGACCAGUGUUCUCCAUAUACCUUUAAAUAUAUCAAACCAGAUUGGAAUGAAGAACAUAACAAUCCAGUUAUAUCGAAUUAUGCCAAACAGUUAAAAGAAAUUUGCAAGAAAACAAAAAACAGCAACAACGAAAACCUUGUCCAUCGGCACACUGGGCUUGAGUAUGCAUUAUUUGGCUUUAACAAAUCAUGUGUGCAUGUUAUGGUUCUCUGAAUCUGUCUCUGCUGCAUACUAUAUUUGGGACAUUUAACAUGUAACCUCAGAGGCUCCAGCUCUAGUCACACACACAUAAUUUCACUGCAUCAGAAUGUUCCUAGCUCAAAUUAGACAAAGCCACAUGUGCACGCAUGCACACACACAUGCACAUACACACAUGCAACUCUGCAUCUGAUUUAGUCCCUCUCUUCCUCUCCCCUAGGGUCAGGCAGGAUGUCAGCAUCUGCCAUGCAUCACUUCACCUGCCAGAUUCUUUCACCUAAAGCCUCAUAAGUACUGAUGUCUAGUGACAUCCUGCAAGCAGCUACACUCCGAAUUCCCUUUAGACCCUUUUGUAGGAACAUGGCUUAGUGCCUCCUAAAUGACACUGCACAACCAGUGCUGAUGCAACCCGACUGCACCAUGGUUGACUGAGGAGACUGUCCGCAGUGUGAAGAGCCUGGGGCAAUGAAAACAGUGUUAGCUGGUUUUUCUUUCACUUUCUGAUCGUGUAAUUUUCUGAAUAUUAAUAAAGUAGUAAUGUUAAGGAAUUAAGGAAUCCAAUUAACAAGCUUAAGUAUAUAUAUGAACAAAAUCUGGGCUUGACAAACAAGGAAGAAGGGGAAUGACUAUUGAGCAGGCAAUCUACAACUGUCUGCAAAUUUUCCACAAUAAAACAUUGCAGAGCAGGGUGUGCAGAUCACACCUGUGAUCCCAAAAUCGUGGCAGGCAGAAGGGCAGGAGAUUGUAAUUUCAAACUCAGCCUAGGCAAUUUGGCUACUUAGCCAGAUCUUAUCUCAAAAAACAAAGAAAAAAGGCUGGGGGAUACACUGCAGUGUGAAGGCCCUGCGAUCAUUUCCUAAUUACACACAGCAAACAAAACAAAAACCAUUAUCUGUAUGAUUAAAAAGGAAAAUAUAAAUAUGAGGUAAAGCUGAAAUAAAACUAGACAAUGUAGUCAAACCAUGAGAUAUUUCACACAGAUACAGUGGUAAAAGAAGCAGGCCCAUUUCUUACUAAUUAGUCGAUCUACCAUUUUUGUUUCUCAUAUACAAAAUUUACAACCUUUCGUACUGAAUGGAAUUGUCUUCAUGGUUUUUUAAGAUUUCUGCAAAAUUUUAGUUGCUCAAUAUACCCUAUGUCUACAUGACAACAUUUUAACGAAUAGUCUGUUGGGAGAAAAUAGUCGUAAGAUUUUUACAAGAAAAAAGGCUAAUCAAUAUCUAAAUCAAAACCUAGACAAAGGAUAUAAACGGAAGUCACAAAAUCAGGAAUAUAAUUGACCAUAAGAAUAUGAAAAGAUUUUCAAUAUUAGCAAUAGCCAAUAAGAUAUUUAUUUUCACAAAGCAUAUUAUCAGAUAAUGAAAGUAAUAAGGCUGGUUAAGGUGUAUCUGAGAUCAUCCCGUCCAUGAAUUCAGAGUUGGUAUAGAGAUAAAUUAGCAUAGUGUUUGUGGUUGGAAAUACGGCCGUAUUUAUCAACAUUAAGAAGUGUGUAUCCCCUGUGAGAUGGUCGGGGAGCUGGGGAAGAGGGAUAAGGUACUGGGAAACCGGAGAUCCUGAAGAAGUGGUGUGUAAAGAGAGGAUACGUGAAGCCCAGAGACUUGGAAGGACUGGGAUUGGUUGAGGGUGAGGAGAGAAGCAAAGAAUCACUUGGAGGAAUUGGGAGAAAUAAAAACAAAUGAAAUGGAUUACAAACAACUGAAAAAGGUUGAUGCGAGGGAGGGGAAGGCAAGGGAUGGGACUGGCAGAGAUUACAAAUAUAAAAGGGAAUUGACCUAAGGCCCCCGGCAAACAAGACCUAUUAAAAUUGAGCAAGGACGGUAGAAAAGAAUGAGGUUUGUUAGCUAACAGGAAACAGUCAUUUUCAAAGUACCAGGCCUUGCAGAGAGGGUUCUUGGACUUCCUCAUGUCUUAGCCUGUUAUUACAUAGUAAUUUGCUUCUGAAAAGCAGCCUGAGACCUUUAAGGACUCGUUAGUCUGAAAUCUCAUUUCCUAGUGAUUGGUACUUUUCCUGUGUGAUCCUAAGGUCCAAAUCAGUAGUUACACUGUCUUUAGUAGGAACUUCUUUCCCUCUGGAAACUUAGGGAGUCUUCCCAAAUUCUAGAAAAGCAUGAAAGGAGGCCAUCUCUGCAGUAGAGUGCAGGCAUACACAAUGGGGGCCAUGUUCGAAGCCUCUUCCACUUUGCUCUUGACUUCAAGUGGACCUUCUUCAUUUAGGAAACAGAUACCAUAUGGUCACUGGCUUUCUCUGUGGUUCAUAGUUUCCCACACAGUGAAGCACAGAGCAACCAGACUGCAAGAAUCUGCGGGGGCUGAGUUGUAUCUCUCCAAGAUUCAUAUGUUGAAGUCCAACUCAAUAUUUCAGAACAUUACUGCAUUUGGAAAGUUGGGCCUUCAAAACAAUGAUUAAUUUAAAAUGGGGGCAUCCUUAUAGAUGCUAAAUAUCACUGGCUCCUUAUUAGAAGGGGAAAUUUGGCACAUGAGAGAUCCGCUAAGGCUGAGGAUGCACGGGGAAAAAAGACCAUAUGAAGGAGCAAGAAGGUAGCCAUCCUUAAGCCCCCCAAAAAAGCCUCAGAAGAAACCAACACCUUCAUCUUGGACUUCUAGGCUCCAGAAAUGUGAGAAAAUAAAUUUUUGUUGUGAAAGUCACCCAGCGUACGGUUUUCUUAGGACAGUUCCAGCAAACUCAUGCAGGGGCUGCAGGUUGAAGGCUUAGUGCCCGAGGAAAAUACAAAUUUAAACCCUCCAGUUAACUGUCAAUGGGAACUACUUUGAAGGGCCUCCUUUCAAAACAGAAAAGUGUUCCCCUGUACUCUCAUGCCGGUUUUUACUUUGUUCAAAUAAGACCAUGGUCUUACACUACCCUGAAAGUUCUGUAUUAAACUAGUUGCCAACGGUAAUUUUGGAAAAAUUGAAGUAUAUGACUAUGACUCAGAUUGGGUCUCCCAGUUUUCUGUUUUUGUUUUUUGUUUUUUGUUUUGCACUGAAGAUUGAACCAUUGGCCUUUGUGUUGAUCUAUAUCCCCAGGCCUUUUUUAUUCUUUGAGACAGAAUUUUCCUAAAAAUAUUUAGUUUCCCAGGUUGGGCUCGAAUUUGCAAUCUUCCUGCUUCACCCUCCCAGAGAACUGGGAUUACAGGUAUGUGCUACCAUGCCCAGCACCGUGUCUUCUAAUUCAGCUGGAGGAUUUAGUCCUUGGCUUUGUGGAUUCAAAACUCUUCCAGGUCAAGCCCCAGGAAAUGAUUCCCAUACUAAUUCAAAUUUAACUGGAUUUCACUGGCUAACAAUGAGAGUUGUAUUUUCCCAGAAGGCCAAUAUAUUCAUGGUAGACUACCCCUAGCAUAUUUUUCUAUUAAGAAAUAAGUAGAGACAAACUCCACUUUGGAAGGACUCUUACUCUGUAGAAUUCAGCGAGGAGACACUUUCUGAGAUGUGCUUUUUCUUACUUUCCUGAGAAGCACUGGAUUUAUCUUGCUCUGAUGGCCCUCAUGUCAGAGAUACUGAAUUUGACUUUUUCAAUUAGUUGUUUAUAAGCCUGCAUUUCUCAUUAGACCAUGGAUUCCAAGAGGAAAGAGAUUAUAUUUUACCUGUUAAUGUAUCUUCAGUAGUAUCUAGACCACCAUAUGUACUCAAAAUAAACAAAAAACAGAAAAAUAAAUGAAUGAAAUUAUGAUACCAUGUGUAUUUUCCAUGAGACAAUUGUUCCAAAUGGACCAGAACAGUCAUCUGCCGGUCUGUGUGUAAUGUCUUUCUACUCAGCUCUUUUAGAUUCUUCAAAGAAAAUCACCCUUCAUUGAAUGGUUAUUCAUCCUAAACCCUGCUCUUUUGUCUUAACGAAUGGCCCUUUUCCUGAAUUCAUUUACAAAGAGACCCCUUACUCUCACCACUAAAUUAUCCCCAAAUAAUUAAUCAAUAUGAAUCAUCUUUGCAGAGUCUACUUGAAGCAACAUGUUUCCUACAGAUUAUGAUGUCUGUCAGCCGGCCCUCCUGACCUGGGCCUCAGAUGUUUAACCACUCUCAUGUUUGGGUUUGUUCACCUCUGUCAAUGAACUGUAUGCUCCAGGCACUCUAAAUGGACUACCACAGCCUUAUAAAUGCCAUCCAUUUCUCUGUGCUCACUUAGGGAUUUUGAAUGGGGUCACAGAGAUUGAACAAUGGGCUCAAGGAAAUCCAGCAGCGUGAACUCAGUUUUUAUAGGUCAAAAACCAACAAGGAAAUAAAGAACUCAAAAAGUUGUUUGCUAGGCAAGUGCACAUAGCCAAGGGCCUCAUACUGUUUGUUUGGGCCAGGACUGAAGAUCUUAGAUGAACCUGAGCCUAAAAUGUGGAUGCUUACAGUGUCUUAUAGACUAGAUAGAGGGUAAAUAAAGUAAGCUCCUUUGGAAGAUUCACUGGGCCCCAGUAUUCCAAAGAAACAAAAAUCCAAAUCCAUCGGACCCAAAUUUAAACAUUGCUCUUGUUUUUUGUUUUUUUUUUUUUAGAAUCCUUAUCAUCAUUCCAGUUGAUUGUUUGACAUGCUAAGCUCCAUGAAGGCAGCUCACUGCUGCAUUUUCAAUGCUAUCAUGAAGAACAGUGGUACCCAACAAGCUUUUGAUGAACAGACCAGGAAAUAAAUAAAUAAAUAUAUAUAUAUAUAUAUAUAUGACUAGAUGUAUGCAUGGAUAGAUGGAGACACAAACAAAUCCAUAACAGUAUUAUAGCACACAUUCCUAGUUCCCACAGUGGUUUGCCCUUCUUUUUGUGAUAGAUCUCUUUGUCCAGCCACCUGCUCCUCGAUGGCCCUGAAAGCCAUUAGUCAUAGCCUCAAAUGGCCUGCUUGGCUUUGGAAGUUAGCUUCUCAUUAACUAAACCGUUGCACCACUCACUCCUGUAGCCUUAAAUUAAUAUGGGUUAAUUCUUAACUGUUUCCCUUCUGUAGAUGUCAUUUAAUGGUUUGCCUUUAUCUGAUUUUCCCCAAUUUCCUGUGCAUUUGUGGUUUUCUACAGGAGCUCUCAAGCUGGGGCCUCAGGCAGCCACACCAGUUGAGUGUGGGCACUUGAGUUUUCUAGGAAGUUUCUCCUGCUGCCCUGAGUCUUAUCCAACUUGUUUCUGUCCAGACACUUCCAUCCAAGGUUAUUUAUGCUAGAAGAAGAAUUCCCGUCCCAAAGCCAGUUUUUGGAGAAAAGAAGAUAUAGCCAGAGCCCCAAAAGAAGAUUACUCUGCAACUGCUAAAGGUUCUUGCUAUGUAGCUCUGGUCUAUGACUGGUCUCAAAUUUGUGAUGGUCCUCCUGUCUCAACCUCCAGGUGACUGAGCUACAGGACUUCUCCCAGGAAUGGGGCAAGCCAGGAGAUGGGAGGUAUGGAGAAAGACUAAGCAAAGGAGAUCAAAUAGGUGGUUCUCACCCACCAAAUCGCUGUGGCAACUGAAAGUGCCUCCAUGGAUAUCCCCAAGGACUCCUGGGGAACAGGAUUGCCCCCCACCACUACCCAGAACCUCUGCUCAGAGACUCCUAAAAGAGGUGUAGGGCCAGUUUCUGGCUUAGGGAGGCAAAAUAAUGUCCUGGAAGCCCUCCCCAUUGGGCUCAUGCUCUGAACAGUGUGGUGAUUUCCUAGUAGUAAAACCAACCACUUCUCUCUAAAACCAUUGUCAACCUUUGGCCAUGCUGUGCCCAAAGUGAGGCUCAGAGAUUAUCCAAACUGGUUUCACACAGGAAUUACAGGGGCCCUUUAAAAAAUACAGAAAUCCAAUUCUUACCCCAGUGAGUCUCUUUACCUGGCCUGGGCAUCUAGCUACUUAAUGUGCUCUGUAAUUAGCCCACGCUCAGGACAGUGAACUUUGCUCACUGAAAUUAAAGUUAACCUUGGCCAGGAAGCUUCCUCAUUAGCACCUUCCACUUUAAUUUAUUCUCUUACUGCUUAGUUCCCUUUUCCCCAAUUUAUUAUUAUUUAUUUGUUAUUAUUAUUUAGAACAAAUUGUACAGCUCCUUCUCAUUCAUCCAAGUUAUUAUUCCAUUGCAGAAAAAGGUUAGGGCAAAAAAAGGCAACGCAACUACAGCUUCGUGUGGUUUUUUGUUUGUUUGUUUGUUUUGUUUCUUUCCUUUGGGCUUAAAGUCUUCCUGAGCAAGAAGAGAGGUACAGUGAGACACUCGGGAAGCUAGGAAAUGAGUCAGGGCCCAGUUGGGCUUAGUUGGCCGCUCCACAGCCCAGCAGAAGGUGCCCACUGCCCUCAGACUGGCCACGGGGCUUCCUUUUGUGGCUUACUGCUCACAUCUGAAGGGGCCAGCCUUCAGCCUUCCCCCACGUGCCCUUAGACUUCAGAGUCUCUGAAAGACGGCGCUGUCUACUCCACAUGUUUUAUUUUGCUGUCAGCCAGGCGGAAAUUAGUGAGGAGCAACAGCCAGCUUGGCACUUCCACCAUUAGCUUUGAUAAAAGAAGAACUAGAAAAGAGUUCUUCAUUACUUGUGAAGCCUAGGUUUCAAAACAUUACUUUUUUAUAUGCUCGUGAAAAUAUCUAAGAAGCAUUAAACAUAGAUGUUGGUUUUAAAAGCCAUGAAGUGUAUGAUGAAUUGUGUAUGAGUGUGGCAUAGAAUUUAUGCAGGUAUGGGAAUGGGAGCUGGGCAUCUUGGACUGCGCAUUUCUUAUCUUAGGUUGGAGAUAAACUGAAAAGAGAGAAAUAGUUAUCAUGUCCAAAUGUAGUUGGUUGACAUAUUUCCUGUUUUAAAAACAGAGAAUAUCAUUAAAUUGCUAGCUAUAUUAGCAAUAGUUUAUGGCUCAUUUUAUCUGAGUACAUUCAAAGCUUCAGAAGUGUGCACACACAUAUAAGCAUUUAUGUUUUGCACAAUUCCUUAGAAUAUAUUUAACCAAGGCAAUGUACAUGAUAAUGCAUCUGUUGUACCUGUCAUGGUUCUGUUUGCUUUCAGGUGCAUUCUUUACCAACUUGCUCUGUAUCACAUGGAUCUGACCUCUGCAAACAGGUUUUCCAAGCUUGUGGGUCAAGUAGUUGCCAUCUGGGCUCAGCCAAUGAGAAGAACUGGCAGACAGGAGAGAGGGACAGGCCAGGUGUCUACUGUAAGCCUCUAUUCCUCAGGUGGUACCUCAAAGAGUAGUGGCCUGGCUCAAGCUGCUGCCAGAAAGACUGCCUUGCUUGCAGCUCCCAUUGCUUUCUGUUUCUUCAGCCCAAGACUGGGAAGGACUUCCUGUUGUCACUAAGCUUCUGUGAGUCUCUGUCACCUGUAUAGCCAAUUCCUUGUUAUCUAUGUUUGUAGUGGUUUCUAUAGUUCUGAUUAGACUCUGCCUGAUACUCAGGUUAUGAUUAAACGUCCUUUAACAUGAGUUAGUGUUAUGGCUUGUGACUAGAUGUCCCACCAAAAUCUCAUGUGGUCACAGGUGGGGACCUUUCAGAGGUGGUUGGAUCUAGAGUGUGUAAUACUGGAAUUGAUGUGGUGCAAUGUUGGGCUCAAGAGCACUAGGUCUAAGGGUAUGAGUAUUACUUACACUCCAGAUACGACAUGAGAGGAACAGAAAAACACUGUUAAAGUCUUCCUUGUUGCUUUGCUACCUUUUCUCCUGCAAGAACUGCUUCUCCUCUGCCAUGCCACCCUGCGUUUGAGCCAUUCGACUAUAGACUGAAAUCUCUACAAACUGUGAGCUAAAUAAACCUUUUCCCC